Ribosomal RNA from Cercocebus atys (sooty mangabey), 107 nucleotides. The record is from Ensembl. Lineage: Eukaryota; Metazoa; Chordata; Mammalia; Primates; Cercopithecidae.
AUCUACAGCCAUACCACCCUGAAAGUGCCCAAUCUUGUCUGAUCUUGGAAGUUAAGCAGGGUCAGGCCUCAUUAGUACUUGGAUGGGAGAAAAUAAUUCUACAGUCU